AGUUGCGAUCAUACCAGCACUAAUGCACCGGAUCCCAUCAGAACUCCGCAGUUAAGCGUGCUUGGGCGAGAGUAGUACUUGGAUGGGUGACCCCCUGGGAAGUCCUCGUGUUGCAACCC
Molecule: ribosomal RNA, 119 nt
Filed under: Helianthus annuus (common sunflower)
Lineage: Eukaryota; Viridiplantae; Streptophyta; Magnoliopsida; Asterales; Asteraceae
Source: RNAcentral